UACGGGGGGGGCAAGCGUUGUUCGGAAUUACUGGGCGUAAAGCGUGCGCAGGCGGUUCGUUGUGUCUGUGGUGAAAGCCCCGGGCUUAACCUGGGAAUGGCCAUGGAAACUGGCGAGCUGGAGUGUGGCAGAGGGGGGUGGAAUUCCGCGUGUAGCAGUGAAAUGCGUAGAGAUGCGGAGGGACACCGAUGGCGAAGGCAGCCCCCUGGGUUGACACUGACGCUCAGGCACGAAAGCGUGGGGAGCAAACAGG
RNAcentral lists this ribosomal RNA (253 nucleotides) under uncultured bacterium. Its description in RNAcentral is "partial 16S ribosomal RNA". It matches the Rfam family "Bacterial small subunit ribosomal RNA", at positions 524 to 776 of the family's 1533-position model. The record is from RNAcentral.